GCGGACGUGGCGGAAUUGGCAGACGCACUAGGUUUAGGUCCUAGCGCCCUAACGGGCAUGGGGGUUCGACUCCCCCCGUCCGCA
This 84-nucleotide transfer RNA is filed under the name Acidimicrobiia bacterium. RNAcentral's name for it is "tRNA-Leu". It matches the Rfam family "tRNA". From Rfam's summary of the family: Transfer RNA (tRNA) molecules are approximately 80 nucleotides in length. Their secondary structure includes four short double-helical elements and three loops (D, anti-codon, and T loops). Lineage: Bacteria; Bacillati; Actinomycetota; Acidimicrobiia. The record is from RNAcentral.